GAAAAGUUGGAAAAAACCCUAAACAUUGUGACGUUACCUAUACCGUUGCUUCGGCGGGCGGCCCCGGGGUUUACCCCCCGGGCGCCCCUGGGCCCCACCGCGGGCGCCCGCCGGAGGUCACCAAACUCUUGAUAAUUUAUGGCCUCUCUGAGUCUUCUGUACUGAAUAAGUCAAAACUUUCAACAACGGAUCUCUUGGUUCUGGCAUCGAUGAAGAACGCAGCGAAAUGCGAUAAGUAAUGUGAAUUGCAGAAUUCAGUGAAUCAUCGAAUCUUUGAACGCACAUUGCGCCCGCCAGCAUUCUGGCGGGCAUGCCUGUUCGAGCGUCAUUUCAACCAUCAAGCCCCCGGGCUUGUGUUGGGGACCUGCGGCUGCCGCAGGCCCUGAAAAGCAGUGGCGGGCUCGCUGUCGCACCGAGCGUAGUAGCAUACAUCUCGCUCUGGUCGCGCCGCGGGUUCCGGCCGUUAAACCACCUUUUAACCCCAAGGUUGACCUCGGAUCAGGUAGGAAGACCCGCUGAACUUAAGCAUAUCAAUGAGCGGGAGGAAAGU
Molecule: ribosomal RNA, 550 nt
Filed under: Chaetomium globosum
Lineage: Eukaryota; Fungi; Ascomycota; Sordariomycetes; Sordariales; Chaetomiaceae
Description: eukaryotic LSU rRNA
Rfam family: 5.8S ribosomal RNA (bases 175-328)
Source: RNAcentral